This 403-nucleotide ribosomal RNA is filed under the name uncultured bacterium. RNAcentral's name for it is "bacterial SSU rRNA". It matches the Rfam family "Bacterial small subunit ribosomal RNA", at positions 123 to 518 of the family's 1533-position model. The record is from RNAcentral.
AACCUACCUAUCAGGAGGGGAACUAACCCGGCGAAAGUCGGACUAAUACCGCAUAAAACAGGGGGCACCGCAUGGUGAUAUUUGUUAAAGAAAUUCGCUGAUAGAUGGGCAUGCGUUCCAUUAGGUAGUUGGUGAGGUAACGGCUCACCAAGCCGACGAUGGAUAGGGGAACUGAGAGGUUGGUCCCCCACACUGGUACUGAGACACGGACCAGACUCCUACGGGAGGCAGCAGUGAGGAAUAUUGGUCAAUGGGCGAGAGCCUGAACCAGCCAAGUCGCGUAGAAGGAAGAAGGAUCUAUGGUUACGUAAACUUUCUUUGCGAGGGGAAUAAAGUGCAGGACGUGUCCUGUUUUGUAUGUACCCUGAGAAUAAGGAUCGGCUAACUCCGUGCCAGCCGCCGC